AUACGGAGGGCGCAAGCGUUGCCCGGAAUCACUGGGUGUAAAGGGUGCGUAGGCGGGGCUGUAAGUCAGAGGUGAAAGCCCUCGGCUCAACCGGGGAAUUGCCUCUGAUACUGCAGCUCUUGAGUCCCGGAGAGGCCGCUGGAAUUCCUGGUGUAGCGGUGAAAUGCGUAGAUAUCAGGAGGAACACCGGAGGCGAAGGCGGGCGGCUGGACGGGGACUGACGCUGAGGCGCGAAAGCGUGGGGAGCAAACAGGAUUAGAAACCCUAGUAGUCC
RNAcentral lists this ribosomal RNA (274 nucleotides) under uncultured bacterium. Its description in RNAcentral is "partial 16S ribosomal RNA". It matches the Rfam family "Bacterial small subunit ribosomal RNA", at positions 523 to 796 of the family's 1533-position model. The record is from RNAcentral.